Molecule: ribosomal RNA, 1406 nt
Filed under: Candidatus Nomurabacteria bacterium GW2011_GWC2_42_20
Lineage: Bacteria; Candidatus Nomuraibacteriota
Description: bacterial SSU rRNA
Rfam family: Bacterial small subunit ribosomal RNA
Source: RNAcentral
AAGAGAGUUUGAUCCUAGCUCAGGAUGAACGCUGGCGGCGUGGAUAAGGCAUGCAAGUAGAACGCCCCGCAAGGGGAGUUGCGAACGAGGUAGUAAUACAUAGGUACAAACCCCCGAGUCAGGAAUAAGCGACCGAAAGGUAGUCUAAUACUUGAUAGUCCCGCAAGGGUAAAGAUUUAUCGCUUGGGGAUUGGCCUGUGCAGUAUCAGCUAGUUGGUAGGGUAAUGGCCUACCAAGGCAAUGACGCUUAGGAGAGCUGAGAGGCUGACCUCCACCGAUGGUACUCAAUGGACGCAAGUCUGACGGAGCGACGCCGCGUGAUCGAUGAAGUCUUUCGGGAUGUAAAGAUCUUUUAUGUAGGAGAAAGUUUUGAUAGUACUACAUGAAUAAGGGGUUGCUAAACUCGUGCCAGCAGCAGCGGUAAUACGAGUACCCCAAGCGUUAUCCGGAAUUAUUGGGCGUAAAGGGUGUGUAGGUUGUUAUGUUAGUCUUUUGUCAAAGCCUUCGGCUCAACCGGAGAAUUGCGGGAGAAACGGCAUAACUAGAGGGCGCGAGAGGUUUGCGGAACUCAUGGUGUAGGGGUGAAAUCCGUUGAUAUCAUGGGGAACACCAAAAGCGAAGGCAGCAAACUGGCGCGUUUCUGACGCUGAAACACGAAAGCGUAGGUAGCGAAUGGGAUUAGAUACCCCAGUAGUCUACGCCCUAAACGAUGAUAUCUAGCUAUUCGGAGUAUCGACCCUCUGAGUGGCACAUAAAACUCAAAGGAAUAGACGGGGACUUGCACAAGCGGUGGAUCAGGUGGCUUAAUUCGAUGGUAAACGAAGAACCUCACCAGGGUUUGAAACUCAUAGGAAAGACCUAAGAAACUAGGUAACUCCGCAAGGAUCUAUGAGCAGGUGAUGCAUGGCCGUCGUCAGUUCGUGGUUUGAACUGUCCCCUUAAGUGGGUCAACGAACGCAACCCUCGUUGUCUGUUAUACGUGUCAGACGAGACUGCCCCCGCCUGUGUGCAUAAGCGCAAAUAUAUUUUGUUGCUUGUGAACAGAGGCGGGGGAGGAAGGAGAGGAUGACGCCAGGUCAGCAUGUCCCUUUGAUACCCUGGGCUGCACACUUGAUACAAUGGUCACUACAACGGGUCGCGACGAGGUAACUCCGAGCUAAUCCUAAUAAAGGUGGCCCCAGUUCGGAUUGAGGGCUGAAACUCGACCUCAUGAAGUUGGAAUCGCUAGUAAUCGCGGGUCAGCUAUACCGCGGUGAAUACGUUCUCAAGUCUUGUACUCACCGCCCGUCAAGUCAGGGGAGCCGUGAGUACCCGAAAUCCCAUCUUGCAUGGGCUUAAGGUAAGCAUGGUAACAAGGACUAAGUCGUAACAAGGCACGGCUAGCGGAAGCUGGUCGUGAAUCAAUU